Cavia aperea (Brazilian guinea pig) is the source of this 145-nucleotide small nucleolar RNA. Its record names the gene SNORA70. It matches the Rfam family "Small nucleolar RNA SNORA70". Rfam says of the family: snoRNA U70 seems to be exclusive to mammals and is a member of the H/ACA class of snoRNA which contain H (ANANNA) and ACA box motifs. NCBI's taxonomy places the organism in Eukaryota, Metazoa, Chordata, Mammalia, Rodentia, Caviidae. The record is from Ensembl.
CUGCAGCCAAUUAAGCCAACUGGGUGCCUUUGCUGGUGGGUGCCCAGUGUGCAUGGCUGCAGACAGCAACCUCCAAGCAAACUCCUCGGUGGUGUAGGCAGCCUGGUGCUUGUACAGCCUGCCUUAAAGGACCCUGGAGACUCUG